CGGUGGAGCAUGUGGUUCAAUUCGAUGCAGAGCGAAGAACCUUACCUGGGCUUGACAUGCUGGAAGUAGAAACCCGAAAGGCACCUGUCGCCGACAGGUGUGACGAGCGCAACCCCCACCCUAUGUUGCCAACGGGAUGUCAAGUCGUAUGCCCCUUAUGUCCAGGCUACAUACAUGGUCGGUACAAGGGUUGCCAACCCGCGAGGGGGAGCCUCCCAUAAAGCCGAUCUCAGUUCGGAUUGUAGUGCAACUCGCCUACAUGAAGUAGGAAUCGCUAGUAAGCGAGAUCAGCAGGCUGCGCUGAAUACGUUCCCGGGCCUUGUACACACCGCCGUCACACCACGAAAGCCAGCUGUACCAGAAGUCGCUGAGCUAACCGCAAGGAUGCAGGCGCCCAAGUAUGGUUGGUGAUUGGGGUGAAGUCGUACAAGGU
This 433-nucleotide ribosomal RNA is filed under the name uncultured Aminicenantes bacterium. RNAcentral describes it as "bacterial SSU rRNA". It matches the Rfam family "Bacterial small subunit ribosomal RNA", at positions 930 to 1497 of the family's 1533-position model. Lineage: Bacteria; Candidatus Aminicenantota. The record is from RNAcentral.